GAUGAACGCUGGCGGCGUGCCUAAUACAUGCAAGUCGAGCGAACAGACGAGGAGCUUGCUCCUCUGAUGUUAGCGGCGGACGGGUGAGUAACACGUGGAUAACCUACCUAUAAGACUGGGAUAACUUCGGGAAACCGGAGCUAAUACCGGAUAACAUGUUGAACCGCAUGGUUCAACAGUGAAAGACGGUCUUGCUGUCACUUAUAGAUGGAUCCGCGCCGCAUUAGCUAGUUGGUAAGGUAACGGCUUACCAAGGCAACGAUGCGUAGCCGACCUGAGAGGGUGAGCGGCCACACUGGAACUGAGACACGGUCCAGACUCCGACGGGAGGCAGCAGUAGGGAAUCUUCCGCAAUGGGCGAAAGCCUGACGGAGCAACGCCGCGUGAGUGAAGAAGGUCUUCGGAUCGUAAAACUCUGUUAUUAGGGAAGAACAAAUGUGUAAGUAACUAUGCACGUCUUGACGGUACCUAAUCAGAAAGCCACGGCUAACUACGUG
RNAcentral lists this ribosomal RNA (497 nucleotides) under uncultured bacterium. RNAcentral's name for it is "partial 16S ribosomal RNA". It matches the Rfam family "Bacterial small subunit ribosomal RNA", at positions 28 to 507 of the family's 1533-position model. The record is from RNAcentral.